This 332-nucleotide ribosomal RNA is filed under the name uncultured Planctomycetota bacterium. RNAcentral's name for it is "bacterial SSU rRNA". It matches the Rfam family "Bacterial small subunit ribosomal RNA", at positions 568 to 898 of the family's 1533-position model. Lineage: Bacteria; Pseudomonadati; Planctomycetota. The record is from RNAcentral.
CGCGUAGGCGGUGCUGCAAGCGGCGUGUGAAAUUCCGGGGCUCAACCCCGGAACUGCGCGCCGGACUGCAGUGCUCGAGUGUGGGAGGGGGGUGCGGAACUCUAGGUGGAGCGGUGAAAUGCGUAGAUAUCUAGAGGAACACCGGUGGCGAAAGCGACACCCUGGCCCGCAACUGACGCUGAGGCGCGAAAGCGUGGGUAGCAAACAGGAUUAGAUACCCUGGUAGUCCACGCCGUAAACGAUGAGCACUAGGUAGCCGCCGGAUCCGACCGGGGGCUGCUGAAGGUAAUCCAUUAAGUGCUCCGCCUGGGGAGUAUGGUCGCAAGGCUGAA